UGAUAAUUAGAUUUAUAUAAUAAAUAUUUUAUUAUAUGACUUGUUUAGAAUAUUUAAGUUAAUUAUUUUAACUUGAUUAUUGAUGCUGUGUACGAAGAAUAAGUCAGAUAUGAGAUCCAAACCCUAGAUUGGGAUUGUGAUCAAGAGAUGAGAAUAAUAAUAUUAUAUUAUUUAUAUAAUGAUUUUACAGUACCAUAAUUAUGUACUGUGUAUGUGCGGACAGAUAAUAUUGAGCAAUGACGGUCAAUUAGGUCA
This 255-nucleotide long non-coding RNA is filed under the name Panax ginseng (ginseng). Its description in RNAcentral is "long non-coding RNA (PGIN_LNC001553)". The record is from RNAcentral. Lineage: Eukaryota; Viridiplantae; Streptophyta; Magnoliopsida; Apiales; Araliaceae.